This 253-nucleotide ribosomal RNA is filed under the name uncultured bacterium. RNAcentral describes it as "partial 16S ribosomal RNA". It matches the Rfam family "Bacterial small subunit ribosomal RNA", at positions 524 to 776 of the family's 1533-position model. The record is from RNAcentral.
UACGUAGGGUGCAAGCGUUGUCCGGAAUCAUUGGGCGUAAAGAGCUCGUAGGCGGUCUGUCGCGUCGGCUGUGAAAACCCGAGGCUCAACCUCGGGCCUGCAGUCGAUACGGGCAAACUAGAGUACUGCAGGGGAGACUGGAAUUCCUGGUGUAGCGGUGAAAUGCGCAGAUAUCAGGAGGAACACCGGUGGCGAAGGCGGGUCUCUGGGCAGUAACUGACGCUGAGGAGCGAAAGCGUGGGGAGCGAACAGG